UACGUAGGGGGCUAGCGUUGUCCGGAUUUAUUGGGCGUAAAGAGCGUGUAGGCGGCCAGGUAGGUCUGCUGUGAAAACUCGAGGCUCAACCUCGAGACGUCGGCGGAAACCAUCUGGCUAGAGUCCGGAAGAGGAGAGUGGAAUUCCUGGUGUAGCGGUGAAAUGCGCAGAUAUCAGGAAGAACACCCGUGGCGAAGGCGGCUCUCUGGGACGGUACUGACGCCGAGACGCGAAAGCGUGGGGAGCGAACAGG
This 253-nucleotide ribosomal RNA is filed under the name uncultured bacterium. RNAcentral's name for it is "partial 16S ribosomal RNA". It matches the Rfam family "Bacterial small subunit ribosomal RNA", at positions 524 to 776 of the family's 1533-position model. The record is from RNAcentral.